UACGUAGGGUGCAAGCGUUGUCCGGAAUUAUUGGGCGUAAAGAGCUCGUAGGCGGUCUGUCGCGUCUGCUGUGAAAACUCAGGGCUUAACCCUGAGCUUGCAGUGGGUACGGGCAGACUAGAGUGCGGUAGGGGAGACUGGAAUUCCUGGUGUAGCGGUGAAGUGCGCAGAUAUCAGGAGGAACACCGGUGGCGAAGGCGGGUCUCUGGGCCGUAACUGACGCUGAGGAGCGAAAGCCAGGGGAGCAAACGGG
Molecule: ribosomal RNA, 253 nt
Filed under: uncultured bacterium
Lineage: Bacteria
Description: partial 16S ribosomal RNA
Rfam family: Bacterial small subunit ribosomal RNA
Source: RNAcentral